This 7846-nucleotide long non-coding RNA is filed under the name Nicotiana benthamiana. RNAcentral's name for it is "long non-coding RNA (NBEN_LNC037890)". The record is from RNAcentral. Lineage: Eukaryota; Viridiplantae; Streptophyta; Magnoliopsida; Solanales; Solanaceae.
GCAAACUUGCUAGAACUCAUCUUUGACAGGUAACAUUUUUUUUCUUCUCCUUUUUUUUUCUCUCUUUUUUUAGGUCAAGCGAGAAAGAUAUAUUUUUGUUCAACAAGAUGGUCCACGCAUGAGGAAGACAAUCUUGAGGUGUGAGGGGAUGAGUAUUUAUCCUCGCCCAAAUAUUAGAGGGAUUACUUUUAUGGCUUGAUUCUUGGAGAGAUUACUCUCAAUGUGGCCCAAUUUUUGGAGAGAUUACUCUCAAAAUGACCCGAUUUUAUGAGUGAUUACUCUUUUUUUCAAUAUGGCCCGAUUCUUGGAGAGAUUACUCCCAGUGUGGCCCAAUUCUUCGAGAGAUUACUCUCAAUGUGGCCCGAUUCUUGGAGAGAUUACUCUAAAUGUAGCCCAAUUCUUGGAGAAAUUACUCCCAAAAUGGCCCGAUUCUUGGAGAGAUUACUCUCAAUAUGACCAAAUUCUUGGAGAGAUUACUCUCAAUGUGGCCCAAUUCUUGGAGAGAUUACUCUCAAAAUGGCCCGACUAUCGGAGAGGCUAACUUAAGGUGCAAAGGGACUCAUAUGUCCACCUUAAGAUUGAAAAGUUAUAGUUCCUUUUGAAUACAAACCCACGAAGAGGCCAAUUUAAGGUGCAAAGGAACUUAUAUGUCCACCUUAAGAUUGGAAAGUUAUAAAGCUUCAACUUGAAGACGACAUCAACUUGAACAUUUGGAAAAUUUUAAAGAUUUGGCAGACUUUGCAGACUUCAACUCGAAGAUUCAAAGGGCUUAAAUAAUUCAACUUUAAGAUCGACAAAUUUGAAGACUGAAACUUGAAGACUAACAAACUUGAAGACAUCAACCUGAAGGCUUAAAUAUUUCAAUUUUAAGACCGGCAAAUUUUAAGACUUCAACUUGAAUACCGACAGACUUGAAGACUUUAACUCUGAGACUUGAGGGCCUAAAUAUUUCAACUUGAAGAUCGGCGAAUUUGAUGACUUCAACUUGAAGACCGACAGACUUGAACACUUUAACUUUGAGUAUCGACGGACUUGAAAAUAUCAAUUUACCACUGUUGGUUGCCCCUUUUAAAUCAAAUGAGAUCAAAGUUCCACAAGAGGAUGGAAUUUCACCUUGAUUUUGCAUUCCUCCAUACUUCACUCGGACAAUAAUUGGGGCAAUAUGCAUCUUUUGAACUUAUGCGACUGAACUUAGAAUGAAACUCUAAGCUGCCUACGUACCUCGUUGAAGAGGAUCAAUUCAUACAGUAGUUCAGACUGGGUAGAUUUUUUUUUUUACAUCCUAACUUUUGCCUAGGUCGCCUCUUUCGAGUUUUCAACCUAGCGAACAUUUUUUUUACAUCCUAACUUUUGCCUAGGCCGCCUCUUUUGAGAUUUUCAACCUAGCAGAUAUUUUUUCGUACGUCUUAACUUUUGCCUAGGCCGCCUCUUUUGAGAUUUUAAACCUAGCGAAUAUUUUUUUUUGGCCACACACAGUUUAUACUCUUGCGAGCCAGGAGUGUAGCAACAUGGAGUUUAGGCUUGUGCAUCAAGGAGUGUUGCAACUUCAAGGAUAAUUCUUCUUCAUAAACUUGCCAUUGAUAGGUACGAUCCUCAUAUUAUCUGCAUCAACCAGCUUGUAAGCCCCACUUGAGUAAACUUCUUGUACGACAUAUGGCCUAUCCCACUUUGAAGUGAACUUCCUUACCAGUUUGUGGAAAGUAAUUAUGGGUCUUCAUACGGUAAGGACUUGAUCUCCUACUUGAAAGGAUCUUAGACGAACUUUUUUAUUGAAGGCACGAGACAAUCGAGCUUGAUAAUAUUCAAGACUCUGUUGAGAUUCCAACCUCUUCUCAUCAAGGGACUCUAACUAUGCUAAUCGAAGUCGAGCAUUUUCUUCAUCAGUGAUCCCUUCUUGAAUAGCCAGUUGUAACGAAGGUAUUUGACGCUCAAGUGGAAAAACGGCUUCGACCCCAUAAUCGAGUGAAUAAGGAGUCGCCUGUGUCAGCGUGCGGUGAGUCGUCCUAUAUGCCUAUAGAGCUUCUUCCAUACGGUCAUUCCAAUCCCGUUUGGAUUUGGAGACGACUUUCUUUAACAAGUUGCAUAGAGUCUUGUUGAAUGCCUCGGCUAGACCAUUGGCGGCAACAUUGUACGUCGAAGAGUUACGUUGCUUGACGCCAAAGAGCUCACAAAUCUUUUUCAUCAACUUAUUGCCGAACGGCUUGCCAUUAUCCGUUAUUAUGUAACGGGGAAUGCCAAAGCGAUAGAUGAUAGAUGAUGUUCACUCGAAUGAAACUUGCAACAUUUUCCUUCUUUACCUCCUUAAGAGCGAUAGCUUCAGCCCAUUUUGAGAAGUAGUCAGUUGCAGCCAAGAUGUAUAGGUAGCCACCAUAGGACUUUGGCAGUGGUCCAACAACAUCCAAUCCCUAAGCGUCAAAUGGCCAGGAUGCAACAGUCGGAUGCAACAUUUUAGGAGGUUGAUGAAUAAAAUGUGCAUGGAAUUGACAAGCCUUGCAUAUUCGAGCGUAGUCCAACUAAUCUUUUACCAUCGUUGGCCAAUAAUAUCCCGUCCUUUUUAUAUGGAAGUGGAGCUUUGGUCCAGACUGGUGUGACCCACAUACCCUAGAAUGUGCCUCUUGCAAAGCUUGGAGAGCUUCUUUUUCUCCUAGGCAUUGCAAGAGUACUCCCUCAAACGACUUUCUGUAUAGAGUAUCCUUGCAAUAAGGAAGCGAGGCGCACGACGACGAAUUUCAGUGCUUCUCCUCGGAUUAUCUGGAAGUAUCCCAUAGCAUAAGUAGUCGAUAAUGGGUUGGCGCAUGCUUCUUUCUCAACUUCAGAAACAGCAACAAGAUGCUCGAGUUCGUUUCUUCACCUUCAGCCUCAUUUGGCGGCGGUACUACCCAUUGAUUGCAAACAGUAACUUGCGCUUGAUCAGGCAGGGUUAAAGAUGAAGCUAGGACAGCUAAAGCAUCGGCCUUCUUAUUUUCUUUCCUUAGCACAUGCUGAAUAGUCACAUCACCGAGCCAUCCCAUCAAUUUUUUAGCGUAAUCCUGAUAUGGGCGUAGUUCAUGCUUCUUAACCUCGUAACUACCCAAAAUCUGGUUGACCACUAACUGAGAGUCACCAAAGACUCGCAAUUGCAACUGCUUCAUAUCAACGGCAAUUUCAAGCCCAAAUAUUAAUGCUUGAUACUCAGCAACAUUGUUGGAACAGAGUUGUGUCAAGGUGAAGGAGUAGGGCAAGACUUCACAUUGGGGAGUGACAAAUACAACUUGAUCCUCAGCAACAUUGUUGGAACAGAGUUGUGUCAAGGUGAAGGAGUAGGGCAAGACUUCACACUGGGGAGUGACAAAUACAACGCCAGCCCCAGCUCCCCCACGAUGCGCGGCGGCAUCAAAGUACAUCUUCUAUGGAGGUUGAACAUCAACGACCAUUGCGUCCUCAUCUGGUAGUUCAUCAGUAAGCUCCCAGUCAUCAGGUAUCGGAUAAUCUGCCAAGAAAUCUGGCAAUGCUUGUCCUUUUAAAGCCUUUUGAAGGAUGUACAAAAUCUCAAAUUGUUGAAAUUGGAGGUACCACCUUACUAUUUGAUCACCAAGAACAGGUUUUGACAUCACGAACUUGAUGGGAUUUGCUUUAGAAAUAAGACGGACAACAUGAGCUUGGAAGUAGUGCUUCAAAUUUUGAAUGAGAAGACUAGCGCCAACCAUAACUUCUCAAUUGGCGAAUAAUUGAACUCGUUUGGUGUCAUAUUUUGCAUCUUCAUCUUCUUGAGGGUCCCCAUUACUGAAGGAUAUGUGAUAACACGGCGAAACAUCCUCCUAUUAUGCAUUAUCUUCCAUUGAACAUGGAAUGCCAUUCUCGACUUUUACAGUAACAUGAUACGAAGAACCCACACUUUCUUCGUCUUCAUCAUGUUCCUUCUUCCUGGUACAGGGGCUGCUAAAACGGGAGGCUUCAUCAAGUAGGAAUUAAUGCUCUCAAAGGCAUUACUGCAUGCUUGGUCCCAUCUAAAAGGGAUACCUUUCUUCAUAAGGCGACUGAAUGGUUAGCACCUCCCAUCUAGGUUCGAAAUGAACCUCCUAAGGUACGAUAGCUUUCCUUGCAGACUUUUCAAUUCAUGGAUAUCUCGAGGCUCAGGCAUUUUCAAAAUGGCNNNNNNNNNNNNNNNNNNNNNNNNNNNNNNNNNNNNNNNNNNNNNNNNNNNNNNNNNNNNNNNNNNNNNNNNNNNNNNNNNNNNNNNNNNNNNNNNNNNNNNNNNNNNNNNNNNNNNNNNNNNNNNNNNNNNNNNNNNNNNNNNNNNNNNNNNNNNNNNNNNNNNNNNNNNNNNNNNNNNNNNNNNNNNNUUCCGAUCUACCAAAAUCUAUUUACCCUUUUUCAUGUGGUCGCCUUUGUCUAUUGAUUUCACCACCAAGUUGUCAACAUAGCAUUCGACAUUUUUGUGGAGAAGAUCAUCGAAAAUAUUUUGCAUAACCCUUUGGUAAGUAGCACCAGCAUUCUUCAAGCCAAAUGGCAUUAUCUUGUAGCAAUAAAUACCGUUCGGAGUGCGGACGCAGUAAGCUCUUCAUCUUUUGGUGCCAUGAGAAUUUGGUUAUAGCCCGAAGAAUCGUCCAUGAAAGACAUUGCCUCGUAACCAGUAGUAGCAUCGAUCAUCAGCUCUGGAAUAGGAAACGGGAAUUCAUCUUUUGGGACAUGCAUUAUUGAGGUCCCUGAAGUCAGCGCAUACUCGAAUCCGGCCAUUCUUCUUCCUUACAGGGACAAUACUUGAAAACCAUGUUAGGUAUUUAACUUCCCGAAUAAAUCCAGCUUCAACGAGUUUGUUAACUUCAACUUCAAUCACGGGAACCAAGUCCGGCCUGAAGCGCCUUUGAUCUUGUUUAACAGGGCGGGCACCAUUUUUGAAUGCAAGGUGAUGGACUGCUACUUACGGGUCCAAGCCAGGCAUCUCUUUGUAACUCCGAGCGAAGACAUCCCUGAACUCUUUGAGUAACUCAAUAUAGGCGGUUUCUUCAUCAGCUUCGAGUAAAGCACCUAGGUAGGUGGGUCUUGGUUCUUCAUCGGUGCCAAGGUUAACUUCUUUUAAGGCAUCAACCGUAGUCUUCACUCCUUCUUCAAGUUUAGGUAGAGCAUCUUUCGCAUCUUCAUCUUCUUGAGGAUCCCCAUCAUUGAAUGAUAUGUGAUAACAUGGUGAAACAUGCUCCAAUUCUGCGUUAUCCUUCAUCGAAGACGGAACACUUCUUGAGGAUCCCCAUCAUUGAAGGAUAUGUGAUAACAUGGUGAAAUAUUCUCCAAUUCUACGUCAUCCUUCAUCGAAGACGGAACACCAUUCUUGAUUUGUACAGUGACAUGAUACGAAGAACCUACACUUUCUUCAUCUUCGUCACGUUCCUUAGUGUAGACCAUAGUAUAUGGCUUUACCUUCAGUAUUUCUUCACAUGAAACUACACGUUUUGUUUUUCGCUCAUUCUAGAAGGAACCAGACUUUGGAAAUCUUUAGAGAUCUCCUGGAUAUUGGGUGAAGCGGGUGUUCUUAUGCUUCGAAAAUUUCUCCGGAACUUGUUCCCCUUAUUUAUUGGACCCAAUAUUUCAAACACGGAGGUCCUCGCAGGUCAUCUUCAGAGUCGAUCAAAGAUAGAAGGCUUGUUAGAAGCGGCUGAUUCAUCUUCUAUGGUGAUAUACUUGCUACUCUCCCUUCUUAUUGAAAUAUGCACUGGUGACGGUUGCUUGUAUCCCAAACCUUUAUGCGGUUGCCUCGUUGGGAUUUUAUCCAGCUUUUUCAAAUAACUUUUAAGCAUUGGGGUCAAAAUCUUCAUUUGUUUUCUUUGUAAGGAGUGCCACAUUCUGCAAAUGAUUUUGGGCUACAAACCCUACAAGCGGCAUUGAGGACGACUUUACUGCCUCAAUUUGUUUAACCGGAAGAGUUAACUCCUUUGGCAUGUUGAUUUGGAUAUUAUAUGACUCGCCCUUGUCUUUCUUCCUUUUAGGGACAUAUUGGAGUACGGGACUUACUUUCUUUCCACAUGACACAAUGCCCCCUUUAUGAGAUUUAUUCAUGUUGGCAGGCAUCUCCUUUGUAACAGCUUUGGCUUUACCCAUGGUUGCCUCAACUCUUUUAGUUAUGGGUUCGUCAUUCUUUCUUUUCAUACCAUCAUCAGCUUUCAGCUCCUUCACAAUGCGAUUCUUCAAGUACCUCAACUCUUUUAGUUAUUGGUUCGUCAUUCUUGCUUUUCAUACCAUCAUCGGCUUUCAAAUCCUUCACAAUGCGGUUCUUCAAGUAGAACUUUGCAUCGACGAAGUGUGACUCAGCCUCGGUGAAUGGCUCAUCAUCAACAACUAUCGUCUUCUCGACUUCACCGUAGUAGUAUUUUAAACAUUGAUGGUAGGUAGAUGGAACAAUUUUAUUCUCAUGUAUCCAAGGCCUCCCAAGCAAAACAUUGUAUGAAGUCUCCGCGUAUAUCACAUGCAGCCAUGCACUUGAUUGCAUAUCUUCAAUAGUGAUUCCCAGCCUGAUCGCGCCUUUGGCUCUCUGGCCCCCUUGGUUGAAUCCUUGGAUCAUCACACGACUUUCUGAGAGUUCUUUCAUGGGAAUGCCAAGUUCUUUCACACUGUGGAUUGGCAAAAUGUUCACUGAGGAUUCUCCAUCAACCAAAAUCUAUUUACCCUUUCAUCGCAUAUAUAGCCAACCAGGUACAAUAGGCGGUUAUGAGGAGUGUCACCUAGCAAAAUAUCGUCAUUUGUGAACGUGACCUUUUCCUCACAAGCAUUAACUUCUUGAGGAGUGGAGUAGAUAGACUUUUCCGAAUAUGGUGUCAACGGUAGGUCAUCACUCUUUUCUUCCCCUUUGUCAGUGUGGCAACAAGAGGCAUUAAUGUCCUCAUGGGAAAUAUUCGUGCGGAACCAACUUGGUAAAAAUUCCUCCAAGGUUACUGGAUUUCGUGGCCUUUGAGGGUGGUGCAUCUCCACCUUUGCCUUCUUCAAAUGCCUAAUUGGAUUCUUUUUCAUUGGUCUUUUUACCAUCAUCUUCCUUGUUGGUUGUUCUAUUGAUUCUUUUGGUGGGCUCCUUUUGUAGCGCCUACGAUAAGUCACCAACAUCCAUCCUUCAUCAUCAUCAGGUUGGUUGACUUCAGCUUUGUUUCUCUCUAAUAAUUCUUCAUCUUUAAUUUCUUUAAAACCACAUAACUUAUCCGGACUGAAUGAGCCAAAGGUGAUAGAAACUUGGUUUGCGCUCGCUUUCUCAUCUUCAAGAACAAUCUUCUUUUCGCGAGCCAAGUCCAUUAUCUUAUCCUUAAAGACAAAGCACUUCUCCAGAGGGUGUACAAGUCGGUGAUAUUUGCAGUAAUUUGGGUCAUUUGUUUUCCCAACUUCAUUUGGUCGCUUCAUCCUCUUUUCGCAAGCCAAGUCCAUGGCCUUAUCCUUAAAGACAAAGCACUUCUCCAGAGGAUGGCUUACAAGUCGGUGAUAUUUGCAGUAAUUUGGUUCAUUUGUUUUCCCAACUUCAUUUGGUCGAUUCAUCUCCAGAAGCUCAAUGAGAUUUAACUCGAGGAGCUCUUCGAAAAUGGCUGGCACAUUAGAAUCCAGGAAUGGGUACUAUUUCUCUUGCAUUUCUUUUUGAGUCAACUUUCCACUUGGCUUGCCUUGAAAAGAAGUGGAUUUCAUACUCGGCUUCUUGCUGACCUUCGCCGUGAACUUCAUCGUUAAUGUAUUGACACUCAUAGCUUCUUUGCUUUCAUACUUGGGUAUGAACUUGCCCCACUUCCUAACUUCUUGAUUGUUAUUGGCUUUGCGAGGUUCAUAGAUGGGCAUCCUUUCAUUUCCAGCGGAGGCCAUGCUCAAUUCCAUGUCAUGGGCACGAGUUGCAAGUUCUUCAAAU